This 59-nucleotide microRNA precursor is filed under the name Paramuricea clavata. Lineage: Eukaryota; Metazoa; Cnidaria; Anthozoa; Malacalcyonacea; Plexauridae. The record is from RNAcentral.
ACUAUACAGUUUCGUACCACGUAAAUAAUCGUUAUUUACGUGGUACGAAACUGUAUAGU